AAGACUAUACUUUCAGGGAUCAUUUCUAUAGUUUGUAACUGGUGAAAUGCGCUCGAAAGUGUCAAAUUCAGUAACCGCGAGGACGAGCUGCAGUGUUCUUUCUUGAGCGUAAAGUAGACUCUCAAUGCUGCCACAGUGUAGCUGCUAGAGUCUUUGAUUGUUCUGCUCCUUUUAAUCGGGGAGCUGGAGGGAGAGAACACAAGCCGAGCGGU
RNAcentral lists this small nucleolar RNA (212 nucleotides) under Leptobrachium leishanense (Leishan spiny toad). RNAcentral describes it as "Small nucleolar RNA U3 (ENSLLEG00000006000.1)". It matches the Rfam family "Small nucleolar RNA U3". Rfam says of the family: Small nucleolar RNAs (snoRNAs) are involved in the processing and modification of rRNA in the nucleolus. There are two main classes of snoRNAs: the box C/D class, and the box H/ACA class. The record is from Rfam by way of RNAcentral. Lineage: Eukaryota; Metazoa; Chordata; Amphibia; Anura; Megophryidae.